Non-coding RNA from Cyanistes caeruleus (blue tit), 330 nucleotides. The record is from RefSeq and is a predicted model, not a curated record. NCBI's taxonomy places the organism in Eukaryota, Metazoa, Chordata, Aves, Passeriformes, Paridae.
GGCUGCGGUGACAGCGCUAACACUUCCCAGAGCCGGGGACCCCGCCGCUGGAAUGGCAUUGCCCACCCUGAAAGUGAGAAGGCUUGAAGUGUCCAAGAUCAAAGAGAGGAAAAGCAUUUGCUGCUGGGAAGUGAGGCACACAUCUUUCCUCCCUUGCAAUAAGCUCAUUAAUCUGGCAUGGCAGUGGCUGAUCUGGGGACAUCACACCUUCAAAUGCACUUCAAAUAUCUGGAAGGCCUGUGGUGCUACUGGACGAGGAGCUGAUCCUACGUGGACCUAUGUGAGGACAGCUAAGAGGAUUGGGAUCUUCCCAGUAAUUCCUGCAAAUAA